This 493-nucleotide ribosomal RNA is filed under the name uncultured bacterium. RNAcentral describes it as "partial 16S ribosomal RNA". It matches the Rfam family "Bacterial small subunit ribosomal RNA", at positions 29 to 523 of the family's 1533-position model. The record is from RNAcentral.
AUUGAACGCUGGCGGCAUGCUUUACACAUGCAAGUCGAACGGUAACAGGUUAAGCUGACGAGUGGCGAACGGGUGAGUAAUGCAUCGGAACGUGCCCGAUCGUGGGGGAUAACGCAGCGAAAGCUGCGCUAAUACCGCAUACGAUCUGAGGAUGAAAGCGGGGGACCGUAAGUCCGCGCGCGAUCGGAGCGGCCGAUGUCAGAUGAGGUAGUUGGUGGGGUAAAGGCUCACCAAGCCGACGAUCUGUAGCUGGUCUGAGAGGACGACCAGCCACACUGGGACUGAGACACGGCCCAGACUCCUACGGGAGGCAGCAGUGGGGAAUUUUGGACAAUGGGCGAAAGCCUGAUCCAGCAGUGCCGCGUGCAGGAAGAAGGCCUUCGGGUUGUAAACUGCUUUUGUACGGAGCGAAAAGGCUCUCUCUAAUACAGGGGGCUCAUGACGGUACCGUAAGAAUAAGCACCGGCUAACUACGUGCCAGCCGCCGCAGUAA